Raphanus sativus (radish) is the source of this 1676-nucleotide long non-coding RNA. RefSeq lists it as uncharacterized. The record is from RefSeq and is a predicted model, not a curated record. Lineage: Eukaryota; Viridiplantae; Streptophyta; Magnoliopsida; Brassicales; Brassicaceae. The transcript has 7 exons.
GAUUAGGGUUUCUAUGUGAUCCUCUCUUCCAGAACUCAUCGUCGCCGUCUCCGCGUUUCAAAGUCUCAUCUCUUGGUCUCCCCUUUCGUUAUCUCACUCUCCACAUUCCCUGUGGUUCAGUGUUUGUAUUAAUUCUGCUAUAAUUUUUGAUCUUAUUUGAUCCAGAUUCCAUGUCGACAUCUCCUUUUCAUUCAUCUGGAAUCUGUAAAUAUAAAGGGGUUGAAAGUACGAUAGAUGGUCAGCACCACUGUCUGUUUAUCAUUUUUAAAGCGUACAAAGAUUUUCCAAAAUGGCUUCCUCCGAUGAUGUUGUUUCGCACCCCCGUUUGAUGCUCGCCGCCUUGGUAGAUCUGGUCAGUUCAUUGUUGCUUGUCUGCUCUGUUUUUGGGACUUGAAAAACAUCAAGAAUCAUGGUGAAUCACUCUACUCCUUGAUGAGAAGGUGUAGUAACGAGAAACGUCUCUUUCUCAGAUGAUGCUCCCCUUAUCAACCUACAGAAAUUCAUGCUCCAGGAGUUUGACCAUCUGCAAGCUCUCGCAAACACUAAUUUAGAACUUCCUGAUGUUCUUGGGCAAAUUCAAUCUGUGCAAGGUUCGGAUCUAAAGGACGCUGCGGUUAUGACUCGAGUUAUGCUCCGUUUCGUUGUUGAACUGAGUGUGGUCGUGUACCUUUCUCGGUGGGACGAUGCUGCAGCAAUGUUUAGAGGUCUCAUCAACUCACAGCAGAGUUUACAGCCAGCUGCAGUCAUAUUAUACCAUCUGGUUCCAGCUUAGAAGCCUUAAUCGGUGAAGCUUUCCCAUGUAUCGAUACCAAAAAGGAAUAAAAAAGAAGGAAGUUGUCUCAAUAGGAGAGCUAAACAAGUUCAUUUCCAAUUCUGACGAGCAGGUGAUAUUCCUGAAUCCAAGAAUGUUUAAAAAAAAAAAUUAGUUUAAGGUAGAAUUAUUAAAUAGUUCAGCUACUGCCUUGGUGAAGAGUGAAGACACAUGGGGUUGAUUUUAUUUGCAAGGCUGGGGAAUGGCUGGUCUUUCGUUUUUUUUUUCACUGGCUGCAGUAGGAAGCUUGGCAAAUCGGUGGCUUCUCUCCGUUGCAACAUCACCGGAGUUAUAGAGUACCGUGUUGAAUUAUUAGUUGGUGAUGGGAAUGAUAAUGCCACCUUUGUGGUGUUCGACAGAGAGAUGCUUAAACUGACUACGCAAGAUGCAGCUGGUCUGACUCUAGAUGAGAUGAAUGGUGGUGGCGGGAAUGAACUCCCACAAUGCCUUCAAGAACUUGCUGGAAAAGAUUUUGUUUUCCAGAUGCAUGUGAUACCAUUCAGUUUCACCCCCAUGCCACCGUAUUUUUACAGUUUCUGCAAUCAUUGACCACGUCAAUCAUGAGACUUUCAACACCACUGAAGUGGAGCUUCCGCAACUGCCAGCAACAAGGUUAGAUCUGAGGGGGACGAACCAAAUCCAUCCGGCUUUGACGGGAAAGAGGGUAGCCGCAAAGGCCCCCGUGAGUGAAGCUACCAAGCUUCACACCGUCAACCCAACUCUGCUUUUGUUUAUUUUCAUUUUCCAAGCAUUUUUUAUUCAAAGUUUUCUUAUUUAAGACACUUAUGAUUUUAAUAGCUUAAAAAGGGUUGACUUAAUAUUUUAUAUGGUGACCAAUAAAAUUUACAGCAUGAUUGUUUACAUA